This 96-nucleotide ribosomal RNA is filed under the name uncultured bacterium. Its description in RNAcentral is "partial 16S ribosomal RNA". The record is from RNAcentral.
CCCUAUGGGUCGUAAACUGCUUUUAUAUACCAAGAAAAACACCCACGUGUGGGUGCUUGACGGUAGUGUAUGAAUAAGCAUCGGCUAACUCCGUGC